This 750-nucleotide ribosomal RNA is filed under the name uncultured bacterium. RNAcentral's name for it is "bacterial SSU rRNA". It matches the Rfam family "Bacterial small subunit ribosomal RNA", at positions 30 to 781 of the family's 1533-position model. The record is from RNAcentral.
GGGGCGGGGGGGCGUGCCUACCAUGGCAGUCGAACGAAGCGCCCGCGCGGAUUCCCUCGGGAUGAAGCGCGGAUGCACUGAGUGGCGGACGGGUGAGUCACGCGUGGGCAACCUGCCCCGUGCCGGGGGACAACAGCCGGAAACGGCUGCUAAUACCGCAUGAUCCGGGAGGGCCGCAUGGCCUUCCCGGGAAAGCUCCGGCGGCACGGGAUGGGCCCGCGUCUGAUUAGUUUGUUGGCGGGGUAACGGCCCACCAAGACUGCGAUCAGCAGCCGGCCUGAGAGGGCGGCCGGCCACAUUGGGACUGAGACACGGCCCAGACUCCUGCGGGAGGCAGCAGUGGGGAAUAUUGCACAAUGGGGGAAACCCUGAUGCAGCGACGCCGCGUGGGCGACGAAGCGCUCCGGCGCGUAAAGCCCUGUCAGCAGGGAAGAAAAAAGACAGUACCUGACCAAGAAGCCCCGGCUAACUACGUGCCAGCAGCCGCGGUAAUACGUAGGGGGCAAGCGUUAUCCGGAUUCACUGGGCGUAAAGGGAGCGCAGGCGGCACGGCAAGUCUGGUGUGAAAGCCCGGGGCCCAACCCCGGGACUGCAUUGGAAACUGCCGGGCUGGAGUGCCGGAGGGGUAAGCGGAAUUCCUGGUGUAGCGGUGAAAUGCGCAGAUAUCAGGAAGAACACCGGUGGCGGAGGCGGCUUACUGGACGGCAACUGACGCUGAGGCUCGAAAGCGUGGGGAGCAAACAGGAUUAG